Molecule: ribosomal RNA, 158 nt
Filed under: Lecania chlorotiza
Lineage: Eukaryota; Fungi; Ascomycota; Lecanoromycetes; Lecanorales; Ramalinaceae
Description: 5.8S ribosomal RNA
Rfam family: 5.8S ribosomal RNA
About the family: 5.8S ribosomal RNA (5.8S rRNA) is a component of the large subunit of the eukaryotic ribosome. It is transcribed by RNA polymerase I as part of the 45S precursor that also contains 18S and 28S rRNA.
Source: RNAcentral
AAAACUUUCAACAACGGAUCUCUUGGUUCUGGCAUCGAUGAAGAACGCAGCGAAAUGCGAUAAGUAAUGUGAAUUGCAGAAUUCAGUGAAUCAUCGAAUCUUUGAACGCACAUUGCGCCCCUCGGUAUUCCGGGGGGCAUGCCUGUCCGAGCGUCAUU